AUUCCAGCUCCAAUAGCGUAUAUUAAAGUUGUUGCGGUUAAAAAGCUCGUAGUUGGAUCUCGGCGGGCAGGGGGUGGUUCGCUCUUCAGCGCCACUGCCCCGCUUUGCCCGUGUGAUUGGCGGAGGUUUCGGGGUGCUCUUCGUUGAGUGACUCGGAGCGCCGUCAGGUUUACUUUGAAAAAAUUAGAGUGCUCAAAGCAGGCUUUUCACGCUUGAAUAUUCGUGCAUGGAAUAAUGGAAUAGGAACUCGUUUCUAUUUUGUUGGUUUUCGGAAAUUGAGUUAAUGAUUAACAGGGACAAUUGGGGGCAUUAGUAUUCAGACGACAGAGGUGAAAUUCUUGGACCGUCUGAAGACUGACUACUGCGAAAGCAUUUGCCAAGAGUGUUUUCAUCA
Molecule: ribosomal RNA, 394 nt
Filed under: Oithona sp.
Lineage: Eukaryota; Metazoa; Arthropoda; Copepoda; Cyclopoida; Oithonidae
Description: partial small subunit ribosomal RNA
Rfam family: Eukaryotic small subunit ribosomal RNA
Source: RNAcentral